AAUAUCCGCGGUCAAAAGGAGAAUAAUCCACAUCGCCAGCUAAGGUCCCUAAACAGUACUUAGUUUUUAAGGAAGUCAGAUUGCGAUGACAACCAGGAUGUUGGCUUAGAAGCAGCCAUCAUUUAAAGAGUGCGUAAUAGCUCACUGGUCGAGGAGUCUGGCGCCGAUAAUGAUCGGGGAUAAGUACUGUACCGAAGCUGCGGGCUGAGCAAUCAGCGGUAGGUGAGCGUUCCAUGGGCGGUGAAGGUACUCGGUAACGGGUGCUGGAGCGUAUGGAAGUGAAUAUGCGGGCUUGAGUAACGAUAAUGCAGGUGAGAAUCCUGCACGCCGUAAGCCUAAGGUUUCCUGG
Molecule: ribosomal RNA, 349 nt
Filed under: Scyphosphaera apsteinii
Lineage: Eukaryota; Haptophyta; Coccosphaerales; Pontosphaeraceae
Description: partial Bacterial large subunit ribosomal RNA
Rfam family: Bacterial large subunit ribosomal RNA
Source: RNAcentral